GCAGAUUUUAAGCUAUCUCCAC
RNAcentral lists this microRNA (22 nucleotides) under Brugia malayi. RNAcentral describes it as "bma-miR-84-3p". Its record names the gene bma-miR-84-3p. Lineage: Eukaryota; Metazoa; Nematoda; Chromadorea; Rhabditida; Onchocercidae. RNAcentral also lists the same sequence under 1 other name. The record is from miRBase by way of RNAcentral.